RNAcentral lists this ribosomal RNA (426 nucleotides) under uncultured bacterium. RNAcentral's name for it is "partial 16S ribosomal RNA". It matches the Rfam family "Bacterial small subunit ribosomal RNA", at positions 354 to 796 of the family's 1533-position model. The record is from RNAcentral.
GUGGGGAAUCUUCCACAAUGGGGGCAACCCUGAUGGAGCAACACCGCGUGCUGGAUGAAGGCCUUCGGGUCGUAAACAGCUUUUGUAUACGAAGAAUAUGACGGUAAUAUACGAAUAAGGGUCGGCUAACUACGUGCCAGCAGCCGCGGUCAUACGUAGGACCCAAGCGUUAUCCGGAGUGACUGGGCGUAAAGAGUUGCGUAGGCGGCUUAUUAAGCGAGUAGUGAAAUCUGGUGGCUCAACCAUCAACACAUUGCUCGAACUGAUAGGCUUGAGAAUGGUAGAGGUAGUUGGAAUUUCUUGUGUAGGAGUGAAAUCCGUAGAUAUAAGAAGGAACACCAAUGGCGUAGGCAGACUACUGGACCAUUUCUGACGCUGAGGCACGAAAGCGUGGGGAGCGAACCGGAUUAGAUACCCUGGUAGUCC